AGUCUCCGCCUUUCCUCCUUUACUCCUCACAGGCUCUUCUCCAGCACCAAAUACGGUCCACUGAAAGGAAGGCCUCACCCUGGGGAUGGCACCUGUCUCUUCUCGGUUAAACAGGCCUGUCUCCCUCCCUUCCCCACCGCCAUCCUUUCUGGUCUUCUGAGAAUGCUGGCUUCCCUACUGCACAGUCAAGAGCAAGCAAAGCAAAACUCUUUGGUCUCGAGCUGCUGCACUCUUCUCGAAACUAAACCAUGAUCUGCUCCCAGGAGAGCAGGAGAAAGUAAAUGUAGGAACUGCUUUUUCAAUCCAUUUACUGCUACAAGCACCGGCGGCUUUCCCCCUGCACUUCCAUGUUGUGAUCGGCAAGCUCAGGUAAAAGAUUCUGUGAGAACCCUGAGAUACUGUAUCAGACGAUGAGGAACUGGCAGUAGUACAAUGAACGGUGUAGUGAAGCGUCUCCAGCCAUGAAUAUAGGACACAACCUAGAUCUGUGGAUAACUAAAUAAAAAUAAAGCCCCGUUCUGGUUAGCUCGGUCACUGUUUUCAUACUUGCUAAACAAAAGCAGAAAACAACAGAACUGGGACAGAUUAUUUAUAGUGACACCUUUCUUGGAUAAUUACAACCCAGCAGCUCAUUUGAGGGGCACAAGUGAUUAUUAUUCCUUUGUUCUAAAGUUGACAAUUGGGGCACUAAUCAAGCAUAGCUGCAAAUGGACCAAGUAGUAAAGCAGUGGGGAAUAUUAAGAUUAGACCAAGAUAAGUAUUAUCAAAAAGAAAAUAAAUCGUCUGACAAUGAGUCCUUCAGUCAAAUUCUGAAAGCCAAACAUUCUGCUGCAGGUAACUAAUAAACCAAACCAAUGUUUAUUCCUUCAGGCCAUACCUAAGAUAUUCCAUGUGGCGCUGGCUGUAACAGGGAAAGUAAAGAAAGAGUCCCAGCAAAUAUUAAAAAAUACAGAGGUUGAUCUGCGAA
Molecule: long non-coding RNA, 967 nt
Organism: Homo sapiens (human)
Lineage: Eukaryota; Metazoa; Chordata; Mammalia; Primates; Hominidae
Exons: 2
Source: RefSeq, a predicted model, not a curated record